This 550-nucleotide ribosomal RNA is filed under the name uncultured bacterium. RNAcentral's name for it is "bacterial SSU rRNA". It matches the Rfam family "Bacterial small subunit ribosomal RNA", at positions 355 to 896 of the family's 1533-position model. The record is from RNAcentral.
UGGGGAAUCUUCCGCAAUGGACGAAAGUCUGACGGAGCAACGCCGCGUGAGUGAUGACGGCCUUCGGGUUGUAAAGCUCUGUUAAUCGGGACGAAAGGCCUUCUUGCAAAUAGUGAGAAGGAUUGACGGUACCGGAAUAGAAAGCCACGGCUAACUACGUGCCAGCAGCCGCGGUAAUACGUAGGUGGCAAGCGUUGUCCGGAAUUAUUGGGCGUAAAGCGCGCGCAGGCGGAUCAGUCAGUCUGUCUUAAAAGUUCGGGGCUUAACCCCGUGAUGGGAUGGAAACUGCUGAUCUAGAGUAUCGGAGAGGAAAGUGGAAUUCCUAGUGUAGCGGUGAAAUGCGUAGAUAUUAGGAAGAACACCAGUGGCGAAGGCGACUUUCUGGACGAAAACUGACGCUGAGGCGCGAAAGCCAGGGGAGCGAACGGGAUUAGAUACCCCGGUAGUCCUGGCCGUAAACGAUGGGUACUAGGUGUAGGAGGUAUCGACCCCUUCUGUGCCGGAGUUAACGCAAUAAGUACCCCGCCUGGGGAGUACGACCGCAAGGUUG